Molecule: ribosomal RNA, 271 nt
Filed under: uncultured bacterium
Lineage: Bacteria
Description: partial 16S ribosomal RNA
Rfam family: Bacterial small subunit ribosomal RNA
Source: RNAcentral
UACGUAGGGUGCGAGCGUUAAUCGGAAUUACUGGGCGUAAAGCGUGCGCAGGCGGUUGUGUAAGUCAGAUGUGAAAUCCCCGGGCUCAACCUGGGAACUGCAUUUGAGACUGCACGGCUAGAGUGUAGCAGAGGGGGGUAGAAUUCCACGUGUAGCAGUGAAAUGCGUAGAGAUGUGGAGGAAUACCGAUGGCGAAGGCAGCCCCCUGGGUUACUACUGACGCUCAUGCACGAAAGCGUGGGGAGCAAACAGGAUUAGAUACCCGUGUAGU